GUGCUAGCUUGGGCAGUACAUAUAUUGAAACUGGACCGAUACAGAGAAGAUUAGCAUUGCCUUGUGAAAGGAUGACUAAAUCAAUCUGUGAGGCAUUCCAUAACUAA
Molecule: small nuclear RNA, 107 nt
Organism: Peromyscus maniculatus bairdii (prairie deer mouse)
Lineage: Eukaryota; Metazoa; Chordata; Mammalia; Rodentia; Cricetidae
Source: Ensembl